UGUUGGUUCUCCCGCAACGCUACUCUGUUUACCAGGUCAGGUCCGGAAGGAAGCAGCCAAGGCAGAUGACGCGUGUGCCGGGAUGUAGUUGGCAGGG
RNAcentral lists this signal recognition particle RNA (97 nucleotides) under Escherichia coli. RNAcentral describes it as "signal recognition particle sRNA small type". It matches the Rfam family "Bacterial small signal recognition particle RNA". From Rfam's summary of the family: The signal recognition particle (SRP) is a universally conserved ribonucleoprotein involved in the co-translational targeting of proteins to membranes. Archaeal SRP consists of a 7S RNA and homologues of the eukaryotic SRP19 and SRP54 proteins. RNAcentral also lists the same sequence under 2 other names. The record is from RNAcentral. Lineage: Bacteria; Pseudomonadati; Pseudomonadota; Gammaproteobacteria; Enterobacterales; Enterobacteriaceae.